RNAcentral lists this small RNA (250 nucleotides) under Fukomys damarensis (Damara mole-rat). RNAcentral's name for it is "7SK RNA (ENSFDAG00000020611.1)". It matches the Rfam family "7SK RNA", at positions 1 to 258 of the family's 331-position model. From Rfam's summary of the family: 7SK was discovered as an abundant small nuclear RNA in the mid-70s but a possible function has only recently been suggested. Two independent studies have found that 7SK RNA binds the CDK9/cyclin T complex (known as elongation factor P-TEFb). Lineage: Eukaryota; Metazoa; Chordata; Mammalia; Rodentia; Bathyergidae. The record is from RNAcentral.
AGUGCUGAUGGGAAAGUAUUCUGGCUUCAGUUGCUAUCACUCAUUGGUUCUCCAGAGUUUAUUUUGCUCACGUGACUUGGUAAGUAGGGUCCCCUUUCUCCAUCAGUUCUCCACCUGCGUCUCUCCCAAAGCUCAAUUAGAAAAGGACGAACUCCUCAUAGAGAGCAGAAAUCAUGUCAAGGGAAUUGAAGUUGCUGAGUUUCCUGAGUAUAAUUGCAAAGCUAGUUCUGCUUGUGGGUGGCAUAUAAUU